RNAcentral lists this ribosomal RNA (274 nucleotides) under uncultured bacterium. Its description in RNAcentral is "partial 16S ribosomal RNA". It matches the Rfam family "Bacterial small subunit ribosomal RNA", at positions 523 to 796 of the family's 1533-position model. The record is from RNAcentral.
AUACGGAGGGUGCGAGCGUUAAUCGGAAUUACUGGGCGUAAAGCGUGCGUAGGCGGUUUGUUAAGUCAGAUGUGAAAGCCCCGGGCUCAACCUGGGAACUGCAUUUGAUACUGCUGAACUAGAGUAUGGUAGAGGGAAGUGGAAUUCCGGGUGUAGCGGUGAAAUGCGUAGAUAUCCGGAGGAACACCAGUGGCGAAGGCGACUUCCUGGACCAAUACUGACGCUGAGGUGCGAAAGCGUGGGUAGCAAACAGGAUUAGAUACCCCAGUAGUCC